AUGUAAGGCUGGCUGGUGCCUCAAUUUGAUGAUACUAAUGUAAGUGAUUAAAAUUGAACUGAAAAUUUCUCUUAAAUAUUUCUCCAACAGACCACAACAUAAAUACCGAUUUAGUAAGACGUAUGGGGAAAAAAGGUACAACACUUGGGAAAUGAAGAUCUAUAGUUCCAAAUUUCCAAUACAAUAUCCUACCAUCUUCAAUUUCUAAUCUCUGGCGGUGCUACCUAUUAGCAAAUGCUGAGUCUAAAACGCUAUGCUAUUCUGUCGUUAAUUAUUAGAAUCCACUUGCAACAUUUCAUGUAUGCCCAAAAACUUCCUACUGCAUCCUUUGAAUGCCUGAUUAAUCCAAAAAACUACAUUUCAUAAAAGGAAAAGCUACUGCAAUAAUUUACAAUGAUAAGACUCAAGCAUCAAUAAACCGGAUAUCAAAGGUGUGUGGAUGUAUUUGCCACACAUUUAAGGCUGCAUAUUCCUCUAAACAUUCUUCCAACUGAGCUUCACUGUACCCCUUUCUAGAGAUCCAGUUGAGUGCAUGGGCAUGGCUAACAUCCAGUUUGUUGGUCCUUGCAGCUUCAUCCCUCAAGAUUGAAUAAAUAUCUGAGAUGGCGUCCAUGCCAGAUCUCUGACGAUCAUCAGAAUAUAAAGAGAACUUUGACGUCUGCAAUAAUCUUAGUGCUUCAUCCACAUCACUCUGAGCCACAGUUUCUGAGAACAUUAGUCUUGCUAAAGCAGCUGAUAUGCGGAGAAUGCUAAGAAGAGUUCUAACGGUUGUGUAGGAAUGUGGGGCACUUGAUUUAGCUUCAUCCUGUCGAAUGCUGGAAUAUGCAGUUGCAAUAUACUCCUCUAGCUCCUGGGGGACACAAGGUGACAAUCUCCUAGCUGCUGAAAUAUAUGCUCGAAGAAUAGAUGGUUCAAGUGGAGUGAAAACAAGAGCAGGAGAUUCUUUAUUCCGGUGCACAUAAACAACAUGCCUAGCCAUUUCAAGAUCACUAUCCAUAUCAGGCUGGAUUAGCAGCAGCAAGAACAGCAGUUCUUGCAUUCAGAGAUGUGAUGAUCCCAGCUUUGGCGAUGCUGACAGUCUGCUGCUCCAUGACUUCAUGAAUUGCCGUACGGUCAGAUUCAUCCAUCUUGUCAAACUCAUCAAUAGCACAUAUACCCAUAUCAGCUAGAACCAAAGCUCCCCCUUCUAAGACCAUCUCAUUUGUAACCGGAUCCUUCUGAACAGCAGCAGUAAGACCAACUCCACUGCUUCCUCUGCCAGUAGUAUACACUCCUCUAGGCGCUACAUUUAUUAUGUGCUUCAGAAGCUGACUUUUGGCAACCCCAGGAUCACCCAUCAAACAUAAAUGUAGAUCACCUCUAAUCUUCAUGCCAUCCUUCAGCUUCCGGUGAGGAGCACCCACAAGAAGAAGAAGCAAUGCUUUUUUAAUAUCUUCAUGUCCAUAAAUUUCAGGUGCUAAUGAUCGCGCCAACUUAUUAUAAAUAUCACCAUCCUCAGCCAGACGUGCAAUCUGCUCUUCCUCAUCUCCUCUGAGUUCAUACUCUUCAUAUUUUUUCUUGAAAUGAGUGACAGACAUUGCCUCCAAGUAUGUAUCAGCAACUAAGCCAGCACGAAGUGCUCUGAAACCAGUGUAAGGAAUUGGGAGAAAGAUCCCUGAUAAUUCAACGACAUCACCUGGAGCUACCUUUCUUGUGAGUUCUCCUCUAAAAUGAACAGUCAUUGACCGUGGAAUAUGACCUUUGGGAACAUGCUCUGCCAACUCUUGAAUCUUGGCCUCCUGAAACUUAAGAAAUUUUGAUGCUCUGAGUUGAAGAAUAAGGUUUCCAUUUGUUUUAUUUGUUUUACAGCGUCUACUUGGACACUCAAACAAUGGCAUGAACACUCGAGCAGUUACUUCCUGGUAAAUUUCAAAACCACAGUCUUCACAUGUAUACACAGCUACCUGCAUUAAUGGCUUAACAUCAGAGCAUCGGGUCACAAUACCAGAUAUCCUUACAAGCUGGCCAAUAUAUGAAGCCUUAACCUCUCUGAUAGUAAAUGGUCGUCCCUUUGAAGGUGCUCUGAUAUAAACUUCAUAGUAACGCUUGAUCUCAGCAGGCAUCUUCUGCUGCGGAUCAGAACCAUCAGUAUUCUCAGUCGCAUCCUCAGUUCUUUGAGUCAUUAAUAUGUCGUGGUCAUCAUCUGGAAAAGGCUCAGUGGGCUCCGGCAUGACGUCAUCAAUUGCAGAUGCAAAAAUUCCAAUAUAUCGACGGGUAUUCUCUGUCACCCUUCUAAAGAACUCUUCAUCCAAGUCCUUAUAAUUAAGAAGGUCUUCGAAAUCGAUCUUGACUGCACGACUCUUAUGAUUUGCAAGAUCUUGCUGAAGAGAAAAGAACAAUUAGGACUGAUUCGCAAUUAUUAAGAAAUUGAAGUAAGAAUGGGCUUUUUCCAGCGUAUUAAAAUUUGGAUACUAAAAUGGGAAAAUUUUAAGGAAAAAAUUUGAGGCAACUUACAAGAAUGUUCAUGUAUUUGGCUUCGCCAUUUGCAUCAGCGAAGUUGGAGAUAAAAUCCUUUGCCAGAACUCGUAAAGAAAAGAAAGCAAAAUUAGGCAUAUCAGAGAUAGUGAGAGAGAAAAAUGAAAGAAAAAGGAGAUCUUACCUUUGUCUGCGUUGAAGUCGAAGUCCUUGGAAGGAGGCUUUUGGCGGGAAAGACGGUACGGUGAAAGAAAU
This 2709-nucleotide unclassified non-coding RNA is filed under the name Hevea brasiliensis (rubber tree). The record is from RNAcentral. Lineage: Eukaryota; Viridiplantae; Streptophyta; Magnoliopsida; Malpighiales; Euphorbiaceae.